This 301-nucleotide ribosomal RNA is filed under the name uncultured bacterium. RNAcentral's name for it is "partial 16S ribosomal RNA". It matches the Rfam family "Bacterial small subunit ribosomal RNA", at positions 509 to 809 of the family's 1533-position model. The record is from RNAcentral.
CAGUCGCCACGGUAAAACAGAGGGUGCGAGCGUUAAUCGGAUUUACUGGGCGUAAAGCGUGCGUAGGCGGCUUCUUAAGUCGGAUGUGAAAUCCCUGAGCUUAACUUAGGAAUUGCAUUCGAUACUGGGAAGCUAGAGUAUGGGAGAGGAUGGUAGAAUUCCAGGUGUAGCGGUGAAAUGCGUAGAGAUCUGGAGGAAUACCGAUGGCGAAGGCAGCCAUCUGGCCUAAUACUGACGCUGAGGUACGAAAGCAUGGGGAGCAAACAGGAUUAGAUACCCCUGUAGUCCCUGUCUCUUAUAA